This 1937-nucleotide unclassified non-coding RNA is filed under the name uncultured fungus. RNAcentral describes it as "sequence contains 18S rRNA gene, ITS1, 5.8S rRNA gene, ITS2, 28S rRNA gene". The stretch from base 824 to 1937 matches the Rfam family "Eukaryotic large subunit ribosomal RNA", at positions 1 to 961 of the family's 3401-position model. The record is from RNAcentral. Lineage: Eukaryota; Fungi.
GGAAGGAUCAUUACCACGUUCCAAACGUAUCCACCCCGUGAAUUGUUUUCUCUCCCAUCGGACGAGCAUGAGCUGACCAAGCAGUCGUGGUGCGCGGAGUCGCUAGCAAUAGCGGCUUGUCGUCUGCUUUGGCUAACUGAGUCGCAGGCUGAAACAUGUCGGCGGCUCGACGGCUGCAGCUCGCUCCGGUGGUUCGCCUCUAGGCCGCUCCGCCGCCAUCGAGCAGACUAGUGGGCAAUUGUUACUAACCCUAUUCACCGCUCCUUAUAGUUGCUGUUCUGUCUGUCCUGCUGAAAAGUGGAGCGCAGACACGUUUAUUACUUAAACGUUAAAUUCACCUAUACAACUGUUAGCAAUGGAUGUCUAGGUUUCCGCAACGAUGAAGACCGCAGCAAAGCGCGAUAUGUAAUGCGAAUUGCAGAAUACAGGAAUCAUCAAAUUGUUGAACGCAAAUGGCGCUCUUGGGAUAGCCCUAAGAGCACGCCUCUCUCAGUAUCGGUUUACAAACAAUCAGCAGCGUGGGGUGUAGUGGUCGAGCCGCCUCGGCGGCUAGGGCCUAUGCUCGGCGUGUUGGCUGGAGAAUGAGAGUCUGAGUGCGAUUGUCAUUCAGUCUCUUGAAAUGAAUGGAGUGUGCGAGGAACGAGCGCGAGCGGCUUCGGCUGCUUGUGUUUCGGCUGCUUGGCACGAGUGACGUGAAUACUGGCCCUUGCGGUCUCUACUCUUCGUCUGUCUCGUGUCGUCGGCAGCCGUUCGCUUCGCUUGCACAUGUGGGCACACCAUAGGGCUCGCGCACUAAAACAUGCGUGCGACCACCCUCAACCUUUGAUCUGAGAUGAAGCGAGAAUACCCCCUGAAUUUAAGCAUAUUAAUAAGGGGAGGAAAAGAAAGUAAAAACGAUUCCCCCAGUAACGGCGAGUGAAGCGGGAAGAGCUCAAUAUGAAAAUCGAUUACCCAAGCGGGUCAUCGAGUUGUAGUCUUUCGACGUACUAUCAGCGGGAAGUUGGGUAGAAGUUCUUUGGAAUGAGAUCGCAGAGAGAGUGAUACGCUCGUAUUCGAUCCAAAGCUUUCCGCGUACGAUGUGCGUUCGUCGAGUCGAGUUGUUUGGGAUUGCAGCUCUAAGCGCGAGGUGGAUUUCUCGUAAGGCUAAAUAUCAGCGGAAGACCGAUAGCGAACAAGUACCGUGAGGGAAAGAUGAAAAGAACUCUGAAGAGAGAGUGAAAAGUACCUGAAAUUGCUAACAGGGAAGCGAUGGAAACCAGUGGCUGCGUCUGUGUUUUCCGCCGUCGUUCCUUGCUCUUGUGUGUACAGCGUGGGCAACCCGCUGUGCGUGCGUGGGGCGAGCGGACGGCGGCUUCGAAUGCAGGCCGAGUCAAGAUCAAUUCGGCGUGUGGGAGAAGGUGGCGAGAAAGGUAGGAGAGCAAUCUCUGUUAUAGUCCCGUCGCUCUACCUCGCGCUGGAUUGAGGAAGGAAUGGUGCGCUGCUUGCGGCUUGGCCGCGCGUUCCUCGCGCCUCAGCUGCCCUGAUCGCAAUGCUAUCUGGGUGGGGAAAGGUUCGACUGGGCGUGCGCGUCCUAUGUGCCAUCACGAUCUUGUACGAAAUGGUUUCCAUCGACCCGUCUUGAAACACGGACCAAGGAGUCUAACGUAUAUGCGAGUGGUUGGGUGUGGAAACCCGAGCGCGGAAUGAAAGUAAAGGCAGCCUCGCGCUGCUGAGGUAGGAAUCCGGCAACGGAGGCACUAUCGACCGAUCAUCACUUGUGAGAGAUUUGAGUAAGAGCAUAUCUGUUGGGACCCGAAAGAUGGUGAUCUAUGCCUGAACAGGGUGAAGCCAGGGGAAACUCUGGUGGAGGCUCGUAGCGAUACUGACGUGCAAAUCGUUCGUCUGAUUUGGGUAUAGGGGCGAAAGACUAAUCGAACCAUCUAGUAGCUGGUUCCCUC